GAUGAACGCUGGCGGCGUGCUUAACACAUGCAAGUCGAACGGUGAAGGCGGAGCUUGCUCUGCUGGAUCAGUGGCGAACGGGUGAGUAACACGUGAGCAAUCUGCCCCUGACUCUGGGAUAAGCGCUGGAAACGGCGGCUAAUACUGGAUACGAGCUGCGAAGGCAUCUUCAGCAGCUGGAAAGAAUUUCGGUCAGGGAUGAGCUCGCGGCCUAUCAGCUUGUUGGUGAGGUAAUGGCUCACCAAGGCGUCGACGGGUAGCCGGCCUGAGAGGGUGACCGGCCACACUGGGACUGAGGCACGGCCCAGACUCCUACGGGAGGCAGCAGUGGGGAAUACUGCACAAUGGGCGAAAGCCUGAUGCAGCAACGCCGCGUGAGGGACGACGGCCUUCGGGUUGUAAACCUCUUUUAGCAGGGAAGAAGCGAAAGUGACGGUACCUGCAGAAAAAGCGCCGGCUAACUACGUG
RNAcentral lists this ribosomal RNA (468 nucleotides) under uncultured bacterium. RNAcentral describes it as "partial 16S ribosomal RNA". It matches the Rfam family "Bacterial small subunit ribosomal RNA", at positions 28 to 507 of the family's 1533-position model. The record is from RNAcentral.